RNAcentral lists this unclassified non-coding RNA (298 nucleotides) under plant metagenome. RNAcentral describes it as "partial contains 5.8S ribosomal RNA, internal transcribed spacer 2, and large subunit ribosomal RNA". The stretch from base 1 to 105 matches the Rfam family "5.8S ribosomal RNA", at positions 50 to 154 of the family's 154-position model. The record is from RNAcentral.
GAAAUGCGAUAAGUAAUGUGAAUUGCAGAAUUCAGUGAAUCAUCGAAUCUUUGAACGCACAUUGCGCCCCCUGGUAUUCCGGGGGGCAUGCCUGUUCGAGCGUCAUUUCACCACUCAAGCCUCGCUUGGUAUUGGGCAACGCGGUCCGCCGCGUGCCUCAAAUCGACCGGCUGGGUCUUCUGUCCCCUAAGCGUUGUGGAAACUAUUCGCUAAAGGGUGCUCGGGAGGCUACGCCGUAAAACAACCCCAUUUCUAAGGUUGACCUCGGAUCAGGUAGGGAUACCCGCUGAACUUAGGC